This 396-nucleotide ribosomal RNA is filed under the name uncultured bacterium. RNAcentral's name for it is "partial 16S ribosomal RNA". It matches the Rfam family "Bacterial small subunit ribosomal RNA", at positions 523 to 918 of the family's 1533-position model. The record is from RNAcentral.
AUACGUAGGUGGCAAGCGUUGUCCGGAAUUAUUGGGCGUAAAGCGCAUGUAGGCGGUAAUUUAAGUCUGUCGUGAAACUGCGGGGCUCAGCCCCGUAUGGCGAUGGAAACUGGGUUACUUGAGUGCAGGAGAGGAAAGGGGAACUCCCAGUGUAGCGGUGAAAUGCGUAGAUAUUGGGAAGGACACCGGUGGCGAAGGCGCCUUUCUGGACUGUGUCUGACGCUGAGAUGCGAAAGCCAGGGUAGCGAACGGGAUUAGAUACCCCGGUAGUCCUGGCCGUAAACGAUGGGUACUAGGUGUGGGAGGUAUCGACCCCUUCCGUGCCGGAGUUAACGCAAUAAGUACCCCGCCUGGGGAGUACGGCCGCAAGGCUUAAACUCAAAUGAAUUGACGGGG